CGCCGUUGUCAGUGCCAAGAAGGUUGUAGAGACAAUUGGUAGUACUGUUUUAGUCCUUAUUCAUUUGGUCUAGUCCAUUAUAGUCUUAAGACCAGUCCUAUUAGCCCUUGUCACCAGUUCUUAAGACUAUCAGCAUUAGAACCAAUUAAAGAAGAAGAAAUAAACUUGAGUGGCGUCAUCAAGUACCGCACUUAAUUAGUUUUAAGACUGAUAUGCAGGACUGAAUCGGACAAUAACAAGAAAGAACUGUACAGGACUGCAGUCUUCGGCCCUAAAUAAGGAUCAACACAACACUAACCGUUGGCAUCUAUCGAACUGCCUUAUCAAUAUGUCAAUUGCAGCCCUAUACAUUCAAGAAGAACCAAAACUUCUGAUGAAACAAGAUGGCUGACUCCUGUUCUGCCUCCAUGCGGCCCUCUUCCAGCUCUGACCCCAACCCCCUGGACUUUGAAUUUUGGGGUUACUUUAAGAAGAAUGUCAGCCACACCUCUCAUCCAAAUUUGGGUUUGCUCCAGGCUGCAAUUAUGGUAGCGUGGUACACCAUGAUCACGGCAUUUAUCGUCAAUCUAUUUGCCGCGUGUCGAGGCUAUUAUUGCUUGCCCAUAUCCUGGAUAAAUUAAGUAUCAUGAAUCAAAUGAGGCUCUAAACUAUGGUUAACAUUCUUGGAUAUAUCAACGCAUCCAUGGCAGUUGUACACAAAGUCUAUUAUUCACCAACAUAUGUCAAUUCCAAUAUGACAUAUUGGACUGUAAAUGCUUUAAAAAUUAAUCUGGGUAUUCAUCUAAAAUUUCAAAAAUAAUAUAUAUAAAAUUUUAUUUAUUUAAAAAGUAAAGUGGGUAUUUAUCCCUUAUGAUGAUUUUUGUUCGAGAUUGCUUUUGGCGUUGACUCACUUCACAUGAUAUAUACAAUGUGUGUUGUAGAACUGAUGUUGGGAUGUUCUACAACAAUAUGUACUUCUCCUUGUGUUCAUGAGUUCCUUUGGAUUGAGACAAUCUUGUAAAAAAAUUAAUAAAUUAUGUACCAAGUAAA
This 1029-nucleotide long non-coding RNA is filed under the name Lepeophtheirus salmonis (salmon louse). Its description in RNAcentral is "uncharacterized LOC121115411". The record is from RNAcentral. Lineage: Eukaryota; Metazoa; Arthropoda; Copepoda; Siphonostomatoida; Caligidae.